UUGACGGAGAGUUUGAUCCUGGCUCAGGACGAACGCUGGCGGCGUGCCUAACACAUGCAAGUCGAACGAGGUCGCCUUCGGGCAAUGACCAAGUGGCGAACGGGUGCGUAACACGUGAGAAACCUGCCCCGAAGACUGGGACAACCACGGGAAACUGUGGCUAAUACCAGAUGCCCUCCGCUGAUCGCAUGAUCGGCAGAGGAAAUGCUCCGGCGCUUCGGGAGGGUCUCGCGGCCUAUCAGCUUGUUGGUGGGGUAACGGCUCACCAAGGCAUCGACGGGUAGCUGGUCUGAGAGGACGAUCAGCCACACUGGGACUGAGACACGGCCCAGAC
This 334-nucleotide ribosomal RNA is filed under the name bacterium. Its description in RNAcentral is "bacterial SSU rRNA". It matches the Rfam family "Bacterial small subunit ribosomal RNA", at positions 1 to 336 of the family's 1533-position model. The record is from RNAcentral.